AAAAAGAUAAGCUAAAUAAGCUGGCGGGCUCAUACCUCGCUUAUGAGUAUAAUUCUCUUUUGA
This 63-nucleotide transfer RNA is filed under the name Hyalella azteca. Its description in RNAcentral is "tRNA-Met". Lineage: Eukaryota; Metazoa; Arthropoda; Malacostraca; Amphipoda; Hyalellidae. The record is from RNAcentral.